GAGUUUGAUCGUGGCUCAGAUUGAACGCUGGCGGCAGGCCUAACACAUGCAAGUCGAGCGGAUGACGGGAGCUUGCUCCUUGAUUCAGCGGCGGACGGGUGAGUAAUGCCUGGGAAUCUGCCUGGUAGUGGGGGACAACGUUUCGAAAGGAACGCUAAUACCGCAUACGUCCUACGGGAGAAAGCAGGGGACCUUCGGGCCUUGCGCUAUCAGAUGAGCCUAGGUCGGAUUAGCUAGUUGGUGGGGUAAUGGCUCACCAAGGCGACGAUCCGUAACUGGUCUGAGAGGAUGAUCAGUCACACUGGAACUGAGACACGGUCCAGACUCCUACGGGAGGCAGCAGUGGGGGAAUAUUGGACAAUGGGCGAAAGCCUGAUCCAGCCAUGCCGCGUGUGUGAAGAAGGUCUUCGGAUUGUAAAGCACUUUAAGUUGGGAGGAAGGGCAGUAAGUUAAUACCUUGCUGUUUUGACGUUACCGACAGAAUAAGCA
Molecule: ribosomal RNA, 489 nt
Filed under: bacterium enrichment culture clone ALO1_GLFRUDD03GZ2QG
Lineage: Bacteria
Description: bacterial SSU rRNA
Rfam family: Bacterial small subunit ribosomal RNA
Source: RNAcentral